This 497-nucleotide ribosomal RNA is filed under the name uncultured bacterium. RNAcentral's name for it is "partial 16S ribosomal RNA". It matches the Rfam family "Bacterial small subunit ribosomal RNA", at positions 28 to 507 of the family's 1533-position model. The record is from RNAcentral.
GAUGAACGCUGGCGGCGUGCCUAAUACAUGCAAGUCGAGCGAACGGACGAGAAGCUUGCUUCUCUGAUGUUAGCGGCGGACGGGUGAGUAACACGUGGAUAACCUACCUAUAAGACUGGGAUAACUUCGGGAAACCGGAGCUAAUACCGGAUAAUAUUUUGAACCGCAUGGUUCAAAAGUGAAAGACGGUCCUGCUGUCACUUAUAGAUGGAUCCGCGCUGCAUUAGCUAGUUGGUAAGGUAACGGCUUACCAAGGCAACGAUGCAUAGACGACCUGAGAGGGGGAUCGGCCACACUGGAACUGAGACACGGACCAGACUCCUACGGGAGGCAGCAGUAGGGAAUCUUCCGCAAUGGGCGAAAGCAUGACGGAGCAACGCCGCGUGAGUGAUGAAGGUCUUCGGAUCGUAAAACUCUGUUAUUAGGGAAGAACAGAUGUGUAAGUAACUGUGCACAUCUUGACGGUACCUAAUCAGAAAGCCACGGCUAACUACGUG